UUUUAAACCCGACAGGAGUGGCACCCUUUUUUGAUAGAAAUAAUUAAUAUUAAAUAAUAAUUGCAAAAAAGGUAAAGCAUAUGGCGGGACUGCUA
This 95-nucleotide small RNA is filed under the name Pedobacter sp. SG908. Its description in RNAcentral is "Flavo-1 RNA". It matches the Rfam family "Flavo-1 RNA". The record is from RNAcentral. Lineage: Bacteria; Pseudomonadati; Bacteroidota; Sphingobacteriia; Sphingobacteriales; Sphingobacteriaceae. RNAcentral also lists the same sequence under 1 other name.